This 429-nucleotide ribosomal RNA is filed under the name Chloroflexota bacterium. RNAcentral describes it as "Chloroflexi bacterium partial 16S ribosomal RNA". It matches the Rfam family "Bacterial small subunit ribosomal RNA", at positions 355 to 776 of the family's 1533-position model. The record is from RNAcentral. Lineage: Bacteria; Bacillati; Chloroflexota.
UGGGGAAUAUUGCACAAUGGGCGCAAGCCUGAUGCAGCCAUGCCGCGUGUGUGAAGAAGGCCUUCGGGUUGUAAAGCACUUUCAGCGGGGAGGAAGGCGAUAAGGUUAAUAACCUUGUCGAUUGACGUUACCCGCAGAAGAAGCACCGGCUAACUCCGUGCCAGCAGCCGCGGUAAUACGGAGGGUGCAAGCGUUAAUCGGAAUUACUGGGCGUAAAGCGCACGCAGGCGGUCUGUCAAGUCGGAUGUGAAAUCCCCGGGCUCAACCUGGGAACUGCAUUCGAAACUGGCAGGCUAGAGUCUUGUAGAGGGGGGUAGAAUUCCAGGUGUAGCGGUGAAAUGCGUAGAGAUCUGGAGGUAUACCGGUGGCGAAGGCGGCCCCCUGGACAAAGACUGACGCUCAGGUGCGAAAGCGUGGGGAGCAAACAGG